Molecule: ribosomal RNA, 397 nt
Filed under: uncultured bacterium
Lineage: Bacteria
Description: bacterial SSU rRNA
Rfam family: Bacterial small subunit ribosomal RNA
Source: RNAcentral
AUUGAACGCUGGCGGCAUGCUUUACACAUGCAAGUCGAACGGUAACGCGGGGGCAACCCUGGCGACGAGUGGCGAACGGGUGAGUAAUACAUCGGAACAUGUCCUGGAGUGGGGGAUAGCUCGGCGAAAGCCGGAUUAAUACCGCAUACGCUCUGAGGAGGAAAGCGGGGGACCUGGUAACGGGCCUCGCGCUGCGGGAGUGGCCGAUGUCGGAUUAGCUAGUUGGUGAGGUAAAGGCUCACCAAGGCGACGAUCCGUAGCUGGUCUGAGAGGAUGAUCAGCCACACUGGGACUGAGACACGGCCCAGACUCCUACGGGAGGCAGCAGUGGGAAUUUUGGACAAUGGGGGCAACCCUGAUCCAGCCAUGCCGCGUGAGUGAAGAAGGCCUGGUGUAG